RNAcentral lists this transfer RNA (80 nucleotides) under Cupriavidus plantarum. RNAcentral's name for it is "tRNA-Ala". The record is from RNAcentral. Lineage: Bacteria; Pseudomonadati; Pseudomonadota; Betaproteobacteria; Burkholderiales; Burkholderiaceae.
CGCGUUCGUAGAGGAAGUUGGUGACCAUGCGCUGCGUGGCGAGCAGCGCCGCGUGCCAGUGUUCGAGCUGCUGGACGCGC